Molecule: long non-coding RNA, 1629 nt
Filed under: Oreochromis niloticus (Nile tilapia)
Lineage: Eukaryota; Metazoa; Chordata; Actinopteri; Cichliformes; Cichlidae
Description: lncRNA (ENSONIG00000027339.1)
Source: RNAcentral
AUGUCAGUCACAAAUCUCUCUAAACUUAGUGACAAUCCUGAGGCAGAGACUGUCACCAGGCCUCAGCAAAACCCUCCACUGUGCAGUUCUCCUCUGCAAAACACAGAUGGUCCACAAGAAGUUCAAGUAACAUCAGAUGUUCAUCCAUCAACAAGUAAGUGUCCACAACAAAAAAUUCAAAACCCACCUCGUAAAAGCCAGAGGUCAAGAACCUUAACUGAAAAGGGAAGAGGAAUGUUAAACCAAAGGAUUAAGGAGUUGGAGCAAAGUUUUAAGAUCAAGUAUGAAAAGUGGAAGGUUCUAGCAAAGGAUGCUAACCAUUCAAUUUCUGACAAUUGUUCAGAUGAAGAGCUGCAAGCAAUAAUGAACAACAUUAACACUGCUUCCAGCGAACUAAACACAGCAUAUGAAAACUGGCAUCAGGUGGACAUUCCUGAUAACAAUGCACGCCGCAGAAUUGAUACUUGCGAGGAGGUAACAAGAACUGUUAUUAAGACUGCACAAAGACGUUUGAGAGGAAAGGCACCAGUCAAACCACAGUUUAAUGUAAAUGAAUCUGUUUUAAUGUCUGAGAAAUCAUAUGGCGUCAGUAAGCACUCACAGGUUUCCAGUCAAUACAAACAGUCACACACUGCAUCAAGAGUCGCUUCUAAGUCCUCCAGUGCGUCAUCCGUGAGCAGACAAGAAGCUGCUGCUAAAAUCGCUGCAGCCCAAGCAACAUUGGAAAUUCUACAUGAACAACAGUGUCAGCAAGCAGAGCUUCUGCAGCUGGAAGCAGAAGAUAAAAGACAGAUUGCAGAACAAACAGCUGAAGCCUGUAGACGACGUUUAAGAAUGGAGGAUGAAGAAGCACAGUUUCAAGCAAAACUUGAGAUUGAAAAUGCUGCCAGGCGAAAGGUUUUGGAAGACAAACGCAAGGAACUGGAACGAUUGGAAGCACUCAAACAGUUAAGGGUGGCUAAGGCAACCAUGCAAGUGUAUGAGCAAAAGCAAGAUGAAGACUCAGAAGAAGAAAUUAAGCAGUUACUGCAUGAAUGUAAAACUGAAAGCCAAAGGGAAGGGGACCGAUUUCAGCACACAAGUCACAUACGUAACUCACCAGAGUUACACUUACCACAACAAGCUGUUAUACAUCCACAGCAUGACGGUGGCAUCGCAGCACUUGCCAUGGUAUUAGCAGAUUCUAUUAGUGCCAGUCGUCUUCCUAUGCCAGAGCCGACAACAUUUAGUGGUGACCCGCUAAAGUAUAAGAACUGGAAGGCUGCCUUUCAAACUUUAAUUGAAAGAAAAAACAUACCAGCCUCUGAGAAAAUCUACUAUUUGUGCAAGUAUGUUAGUGGACCAGCUAAGAAGGCUGUUGAAAACUAUUUUCUGUUAGGCACCGAGGCUGCUUAUAAGGCAGCAUGGGAAGUCUUAGACGAGAGAUUUGGAAACUCCUUUCUUAUUGCCAAAGCCUUCAGAGACAAACUCAGUGCAUGGCCCAGAAUUGGCUCCAAGGACAGUUUGGAACUUCAGGAAUUUGUGGACUUUCUACGGAGCUGUGAAGCUGCGGAAAGCCAGAUUAAAGGUCUAGAGGUUCUUAAUGAUUGCAAUGAGAAUCAAAAAAUCCUCUCCAAGCUCCCCGACUGA